GAAUUUUAACACCAAAAAUAAUCAACCAUGACAUAUGGCAUAAAAAUCGAAUUACCAAGACUUACGACCUAACAUUAUAGAACCAAAUCCAACCGAACAUUUAUGCCAUUUUCGCAUGGCUAAAAGUUUACAUACCAAAUUUCAACAAAACAUAUUAGCCUAUACAUACCGAAAUGUUCUCCUAGACCGACUAAAAAGAAAGUACCAAAACUUGCUAACUGCUGUGAUGACUUCGAUGACGGCCCGACCACGCAAAAAGAGACGAGUCCAAGAAACCUAAAAUAGGUGACAAGGAAACACCGAGUGAGUAUAUAACUCAGUAAGUCAUAAGCAAUGCACUACCAUCCAUUAAUAACAUUAUCACAAGAGGAAACAAAAUGGAACGAGGCUAGUUACUCCAUCCAUACCGAACCAUACCAUAGUUCCUUAGACCUAUCGGUUCAAUCUCAUACCAAGUCAUGCAUUCACAUUCCAUAUACUAAUCAAUAGGAUAUUUGAGGCAUUUUCAUACAUCAUUUUAUUUUCGUUACAAUCAUACAACUAAACGACCUUUCACCUAUUCCACGAUAAAUCUUAUGUACGUGACUUCAAUUAUAAUUGUCACAUAGGUUCAAACUUACCAAGCUCAACUCCAAAUAUAAACAUAGCGCCUAUUAGCCAUGAACUCAAGGUACUUACCCGAUCCGCUGUCCGUGAUCAACUCAAUAAUGUCGCACACUUAGUGUCCAUAGUGAUUCAAAAAUAUAUAUUAAGUCCGCACACUCAGUGCUAUAUAAUCAACUCGCACACUUAGUGCUAUAUAAUCAAACUCGCACACUUAGUGCUGUACAAUUUAAACCCGCACACUUAGUGCCAAUCUCAGGAUCAUAAAUGUUUAUACCCGCACACUUAGUGCCGAAAUCAACAACUCAAUACAUCUCACCUCUUUUCUUUUCAUUCAACACUUUCAUCACCACAUGCAUACAUGUAUAUAAAUUUAUCAUUCCAUUCGGCAUAAUUACAUAGACAUUAUGUCUAUUUAGAUCAAUACAAAAUAUAUGCUUGGUGACUUACCUUGUGUUGGGUAAGACGGUUCCAACUCGGCUACUCGAUGAUCUUUUCUUUGCCUUUGCUUGAUUCUCCUCCUUUAACUCCUUGAGCUUAAUCAAUAAAUCAACUAGUUUAACCGCCUUGCUAAAUAUUUACAAUCCAAUUACACAUGCAUAUGUAUGUUAGUAUAUUCGGCAAUCACCCUUACUAAUCACCCAUUUAGUCGAUUGUAGGGAAUUAAAUAUAAUAUCUCUAGGAUGUACUCUACAUGGCCGAAUAUAUCAUGUUAGUUUUUUAACAUUUCCUAUGUAAUUACAUAUAGGUUUUUACGCUUUAAGUUUCACACAUUUCACCUUUUAAUGCCUAUUGCUCAUCCCUUUGAUCUUAACCUAAAUGACAACUCCCUCUCCCCAUAUCUCAACCGAAUUAUCCAUAACAUCAAGACUAAAAUUUUGCACCUUGAACUUCAUACAUUUAUAAAAACUUCCAUAACUCAUUCGGCCCUAUCAAGAACCAUUUAACAUGCUAGGAAAAUAAUCAUAGAGGAAGAAAUUAACAUUCUCAAUAAACUCACCUUUUGACCGAAUGUACAAGGAGCCUCUAAACCACUCAUCCAAAAUCUCUACCGUAUUCUAAGACUUAGUCAUUCAGCAUAUAGCCCAAAUCACCAUGAAAAAUCUCAACUUUCUUGACAUUACCAAGAGUGCAUCCACAAUUUAGCUUAGCAUAUUAUAAAUCCAAAUCAACAAAUUCAAAACUUACCUCCUAUAGCUAAAGAUGAAUGCCGACUUGCUCUAGGUAAGUUCCCCUUAUUUUUCUUCAUUGUUUCGGCCUUGGCAAGAUGGAGAAGAAGAUGAACACUCCUCUUCCCUUUUUCUCUUUUAUUCAAUUUUAUUAUAAUUAUUUUAAGCCAUUUGUUAACUAAACAAAACAUAUUAAAUUAGAAUAACUGGAGCACCAUCACCCCUUGGCCGGCCACUCUUCAUCUUUUGGGUAAAUUGACAUGCAAAACCACCCUUUUUGGUACAUGCACUAAUAGACCAUUUUAAAUUAGCCUAUCAUAUUUCACCAUGUCUCAUAUCGAUCCCUAUUUAAUAAUUUCUCAUGCAAUUGGCAAAAUUAGAGAAUGAAACUUCCACAUACUCAUGUACACACAUAAUAAACAUAGAAUAUAGCAAUUAAUUAUUUUUAUGACUCGGUUUUGUGGUCCCGAAACCACUUUCCGACUAGGGUCACACUAGGGCUGUCACAGUUAGUAUUUGAUCUCUAGAGUAUAUAUGUGUAUUAGCCGAGUUUUGAACUUAAAACGAAUUGGUAUUUAGUCAAUACAAGUAACCAUAAUUGUAGAAUGUAUUAAGUGUUGCAAUCGGCCUCAACAUAGACAUGCAUAUUCGGCCAUAGAAAGAAGAUUGGUGUUGCAUGUAUUCGGUUAGAGGCAAGCAUAUUGAUGCUUUUAUUUUGGCUUAGACAAUCGGCUAAAAGGGAGUGUGGGUUAAUAUGUUGAGUUGAUUCAUGAUUUCAUAUGUAUUUGACUUUAAUGUCUAAUGUAUAUAUAUGGGCUAAGUACUUUGAGUUCCUCUUUUCGAUGCUCAAAUGAUUAAAUCAAUUUAUUUGUUAAAUUAAGCUCAAGAGCAAAGGGGAACUAAAUCCGAUAAAGGGAAGGAAAAGUGGUCAAAUAGCCAUCGAAAUCGUUCGACAACAUCCGAGGUAAGUUUUCGAGUAACGAGACUUAGUUUACGAUUUGAUUAAGUCAUGACGUAUGAGCAUAACAAAUAUACGGUGAUAUGAUGAUUCUACUUGAAUUAUAUGUUGAGUUAAUUAGUCUAUACGUAUGACGGGUAGCCGUAUGUGCAUAGAGAUCGUGUGAUAAAGCAAACUAAACCAUGCUGUUUGUAUGUGGCUAGUGAGCCGAAAAUGGGAUUGCUUAAUACGUGACUUGUGUUUGAACUCUAAUUAUGAAAAUGAAAUAUAGAUGUGUCAUGAUUUAUUGAUAUGUGCAUGAAUAUUUGGAUGAUAACCGGGCUAAGUCCCGAAGGCAUUUUGCGCUAGUGACUAGUUCCGGGCUAAGUCCCGAAGGCAUUUGUGCGAGUUAUUACAUCCGGGCUAAGUCCCGAAGGCAUUUGUGCGAGUUACUAUAUCCGGGCUAAUCCCGAAGGCAUUGGUGCGAGUUACUAUAUCCGGGCUAUGUCCCGAAGGCAUUGAGCGAGUAGCUAUAUCCGGUUAAAUCCCAAAGGUACUUGGCUUGGGAAUGAGCGACCUUGCUGUAAUAGUUUCAAUUAAUAUGCUCGUAAAAUCCCAGCAAUGAGGUAUGUCUCGUAUAUGCAUUGAUUUAGUUGAUCCCUUACAAUUAGUAUUCGCUCAGUCGAUAAAUGAGCUACCGGCCUUUGGCUAAGUUGAUCCUUUGUGUAUGAAUAUAAGGGUUGGUAAUGUGAAGUAAGUAUGAUAUUGAGAAUUUGUGCAUAUGAAAUUAUCUGUUUAGCCAUAUGAAUGCUACACUUUAGUUGUGUCUAAUUUUAUGGCUCAAACUUACUAAGCAUUAAAUGCUUACUCCGUUUCUUUGAAUCUCUGUCUUAUAGAUUUUGGUUCGUCAGCUAUCGGACUCGGGAUUAUUGAAGUCGAAGUCGCCCACACUAUCAAAGCCCCAUUUGGUACACUUUUGGUUGAACCUUGAAAUGGCAUGUAUAGGACUACCCAUUUUGUUGUUGGUCAUGGACCCUUUGGUUUUGUAUAAAUUUGGAUAGCCAUACGAAAAUGGCUUAUAUACACUUUGAGCUUAGUAUUAUAAUCGUCUUGUAUGAUGUUCGUUAAGAGGUAUGGAAAUGUUUGGGAACGAUUAGCCAUUGGAAUGGUUAAUCAUGAUCAUAUUUUGUGCUAUAUAUGCUGAAGGGCUAGUUGAAUCAUGGAAACUAUGUAAUAGGUAAAGUCUACCUUAAAAAUAGAUGCUGAUAGUAGCAGUGACGUGAAUGUGAAAAAUCACUAAAAAUAGUAUGAAUGGAAUUAAAUAGUGAAUAAAUUAUGUAAUCGAACCUUGAUGAAUCUAUUUUCAUACGGAAGUAACGAAAUGAUCAUAUGAAUAGUAUAUUAUGAGAUAUUUAAGUUUUCGCGAAAUAGGGCCAGAACGGUUUCUGGAUUCCCUGUUCCGACUUUGGAAAUUCAUUAUAUAUUAACCAGAGAUAAUUAGAAGUCAUGCCAUAUAUGUACAGAUUCGUUUCUAUAGAAACAAACGGCAUCAGUAUUGAAGCCCUGUACAGGGAGAUAUCCAAGUUGUAAUGCGCAAAGGUCAGUGUAGUCGAACCCUGAAACAGGGGAGACUUUAACUAAUAAACUGUACUAAUUGGUUCGACCAAAAAUUCUAGAAAAAAAUUUGUAGAUGGACAUAUGAGUCUAGUUUCAGGAAAAAUUUACGGAACUGGUUUUCGAGUUUUGGAACUCGAGAUAUGAUUUUUAAGGUGACAGUGAUGCAGUUAGCCAGCUCGUCUGGAAAUUUAAAAUGGACUGUACAAAUAAGUGAUUUAAGUCUGCAAACCCCUUGUGUCCGACUCCGGCAACGGUUUCGGGUACGGGGUGUUACAGUAACCGUAUUCAGGUGAAAGAUUCAAAGAUAUGAUCUAAAGAACAAAAGGUAAAGCCAUUUAAAUAUGCUAACACACGGAUUUUCAUUCUUUGACAACUCUAAUAAAAAAAAUUGCAAAUGACUUGAGCCAAAUAUAUGAUGUUGACAAAUCAUUUUUGUUUAUCAUUUAGGUAGAAGGUCAUGGCAUUCACUCUUCCAAUAUAUGAUGUUGACAAAUCAAAAUUGAAGAGGACAGAAAUGAGUUAUAGAUAUGUACUUGGAUCUCGAAAAUAGAAAUGCUUUUCUUUAUUUUCCUAAUAAUUUACCACUAUACUAUUUAUUAUGCUAUUCUUUUCUUGGAUUUAUAUCAGAAACAGGUCUUGGGAGUUGAAAUUUGUGGGGAUAGCGUAUGUACUCACAUGCUCAGUAUAUCCUCAACAAUUGGGUAUGGUGAACAAUUUAAAUACACAUACUAAGAUCUCUGGUUUUGUUCAAAUAUUCACAUAGACUUAGUUGGAAAAGUAGGAUAAAUUUGAAGGAGAUUAAAUAAAUUAUGCAGCCACUUCAAAUAGAAGACAGACUUAUUAUGAUCGAGUUCUAAAUAACAUAUUAGUUUAAUUAAAACAAUGAAAGCUACCAAACUUUACAGGCUGCUAAAAAAUAACCGAAGGAAAGCUGGGUUUGAUAUUAAAAAAUAUAUAAAUUUGGUUUGUAUCCGAAAAAGCAAUAAUCUUAAAAUAAUUAGUGGGAUCAUCAUAUUUGACAAGUUUGGAUCAUUAUUUGUGCUUUGAAAUUUGUUAUAAGAGUAAAUAACACAAAAGGUAUUGAGAACAAAAAAUUCAACAGUGUUUGUUCGAUGUGGUUAUCCCAUUCGACCGACCAAAGUCCCAAAAGCAGUUUAUGGGUCCUAUAUAUGAAUAUUGUUUAUGUUUGACUUAACUUUUAACACCAAAAAGAAUCAAUUAACAGAAACAAGAAAGGAGGAGAAGAGAUCGAGCCAGAUCUGGGAAUACCUUCAGGGAUUGUGAGAAGAGGCUGAGAAGAGCAAUCGCAAAGGCAAGGUGGGCAAGUGUUGGAAGUGUGGCUGAAGGCUACUAAUCCUUCCAUGAAAUGCCAAUAGACACAACGGAGAACCAAAUCAAGACUGCUGCUGGAGUGUUUCUUGAUUGAAAACAGCAACGGAGGGGUGAGAUGGGGGUGUUUUGAGAUAUGAUUUUAGGGGGAAAAAUUAGGGGUUUC
Molecule: long non-coding RNA, 5821 nt
Filed under: Gossypium barbadense (sea-island cotton)
Lineage: Eukaryota; Viridiplantae; Streptophyta; Magnoliopsida; Malvales; Malvaceae
Description: long non-coding RNA (GBAR_LNC000333)
Source: RNAcentral